UACUCCUACGGGAGGCAGCAGUGGGGAAUAUUGCGCAAUGGGGGAAACCCUGACGCAGCAACGCCGUGUGAAUGAAGAAGGCCUUAGGGUUGUAAAGUUCUGUUUUCUGGGACGAUAAUGACGGUACCAGAGGAGGAAGCCACGGCUAACUACGUGCCAGCAGCCGCGGUAAUA
Molecule: ribosomal RNA, 174 nt
Filed under: uncultured Clostridium sp.
Lineage: Bacteria; Bacillati; Bacillota; Clostridia; Eubacteriales; Clostridiaceae
Description: partial 16S ribosomal RNA
Rfam family: Bacterial small subunit ribosomal RNA
Source: RNAcentral